RNAcentral lists this non-coding RNA (38 nucleotides) under Trypanosoma brucei brucei. Lineage: Eukaryota; Euglenozoa; Kinetoplastea; Trypanosomatida; Trypanosomatidae. The record is from RNAcentral.
AACAAACAAAAUAAUCAGUAUACAGUGAUAGUAGCAGU